Molecule: non-coding RNA, 1385 nt
Organism: Momordica charantia (bitter melon)
Lineage: Eukaryota; Viridiplantae; Streptophyta; Magnoliopsida; Cucurbitales; Cucurbitaceae
Source: RefSeq, a predicted model, not a curated record
AUAAUCUCUCUUCAAAUAUAAUUCAUUUUUGCAGGCAUAUGCAGAUGGAGAUUUUUGAAGAUUGUUCAGUCCCCCCAAUGAGCCCUAUGAGCCAAUACUUCAACACCUCACAAAUGUCUGUUUCAAUUUUGGGUGUUUUCGAACUCCAAACUUCAAUCUCUCCAUCCCAAGCCAUUUCAAUCAUCACUGGUUCUCUCCUUCCCACCAACCAGCGCUAUGGUUUGUUGAAAUAUCCAUAUAAUUUUUUAGUACAACAUGUGGGAGUGAGGGAUCGAAACUCACAACUUCUUGAUUAGAGAUAUAUACCAGUUACCAUCGAGCUGUGAAAGAUACAAACGGGGAGAGAAAAUGGAAGAAAGUUGAAGUGGAUCCAGAAGAGCAUGUUUUCGUGCCAACUUUUCCAUCAAAUUGGUCGCUUGAAUUUGAACUCUUUGAUGCAUAUUUCGACGAGUAUAUGACAGAUUUGGCUCUACAACAGCUACCCCAAAAUAGACCAUUGUGGGAAAUUCAUGUAAUUCAGUAUCCCUCGAGUAAUGUAGCUGGAAUCAUAGUUUUCAAGUUUCACCACUCACUUGGCGAUGGCUAUUCUCUUAUGAGUCUUCUGUUUACUUGCUUUAAAAGGACAGAUGAUCCUUCAUUCCAUUAACAUUUCCUUCGAGGAAAUUCUCUGAGAAAUCAUCAGGCCAUAUUCUAAAUCGCAUGUCUCGAAUUUUGUCUUCGGCUAUGAACAGCGUAACGGAUUUUGGAUGGAGCAUAAUCAAAAGCAGUGUUCUUGAAGAUGACUUGACACCCAUAAGAUCGGGUGGUGAUCAUGGAGUGCAGUUUCGGCCAAUUGCAAUUUGGUCAAUAUCAUUCUCUCUUCAUCAACUCAAACAAAUCAAAUCCAAACUUAAAAGUGUUGUGCCAAUAUAUCAAGCAAAUUGUUGAUGGUAAAGUUGAGUGUUUAUCAAGAUCCAUCAGUUCCAUCUCAAAAUCAAUUGACAAUGGGAGCAGUAGUCCAUGUAUAUUAUAAAUUUUGUUAAGUAUCUUAUCCUUAAUCUACCCUCUCAAGAUCGUUGCUCUUUUGACUUGUCGAUCUUGGUCGGAUUCCAUUUUUGAACUGGAUGCUUGUUUGAGUGUUUUGGACUAUGAUAUUUCAUGGGAUGGUAAGUGUAAAGAGCCAACUGGUUUAGAAAUAGAACUCAUGAAUAUUAAUAUGGUAUCAAACACCAAAAAAGUCAAACGAGUCCAAAAAUGGGAUCCGACACAAAAUUGGUGAACCCAAAAUAAGCACUAUUUUGAAGGACAUGUUAAGGAUACCAUAUGAUAAUUAUCAUCUGAUAAAGACCUAACCAGAGUUUAUAAAAAUAAAAAUCAUAACAAACAUUUAAAUUAACCAAUAAAUA